AGCACCUUUAAUUCAGUCCCGUGAGACUGGCAAGGUUACGUGAACCGAGGUUCACCAAACAGCAUCCGUGUGAGCAUGUGCUCUUAUUGGAUUGCGUUCGGUCUCCUCUCAUUCAUUCUGUAAUGGAUGAAUUCGUGAACUCCUUGCCACUUGGGUAAGGAGUUUUUUGUUU
Molecule: non-coding RNA, 172 nt
Organism: Paenibacillus sp. IHBB 10380
Lineage: Bacteria; Bacillati; Bacillota; Bacilli; Caryophanales; Paenibacillaceae
Source: Rfam